This 88-nucleotide transfer RNA is filed under the name Candidatus Saccharimonadota bacterium. RNAcentral's name for it is "tRNA-Ser". It matches the Rfam family "tRNA". Rfam says of the family: Transfer RNA (tRNA) molecules are approximately 80 nucleotides in length. Their secondary structure includes four short double-helical elements and three loops (D, anti-codon, and T loops). Further hydrogen bonds mediate the characteristic L-shaped molecular structure. tRNAs have two regions of fundamental functional importance: the anti-codon, which is responsible for specific mRNA codon recognition, and the 3' end, to which the tRNAs corresponding amino acid is attached (by aminoacyl-tRNA synthetases). tRNAs cope with the degeneracy of the genetic code in two manners: having more than one tRNA (with a specific anti-codon) for a particular amino acid; and 'wobble' base-pairing, i.e. permitting non-standard base-pairing at the 3rd anti-codon position. Lineage: Bacteria; Candidatus Saccharimonadota. RNAcentral also lists the same sequence under 1 other name. The record is from RNAcentral.
GGAGAGGUGACCGAGUGGUUGAUGGUACUGGUCUUGAAAACCAGCGUGGGGCAACUCACCGCGAGUUCGAAUCUCGCCCUCUCCGCCA